CACCCGCCAGCCUGUGGUUGCCGUCGGCCGCCGCGCUGCCCGCCGGCCGCUGCCGGCAUUGUUAGCGGGGCCCGGUGCGGGCAGGGCCCCGCCGCUCGGGCCGGGGCUCCCCGCGCCCCACGCGGCUCGGAGGGGCCCCGUGGGCCGCGUCCCCUGCCUGCCGCGCGGCAGCUCCUGCUGCAGCGUCGAAGCGCUGGGGCACAUGGGUCACCCCAAGCCCCCCAGCCCUUGCCAUCUACCCGUCCAAAGCCUUGGAAAACGCGUGUGGGGGGUGAUGUUACCAGCCGGAGAGUGCACUCGAGGCCCUCGACGCCCCUCGCCACCGGCAGCACACGCGAUUGCGGCUGCAGGCAGGGACGGCCGGGCACGAGCAACAGCCUUGGCACGAAAGAGCCUGAUGCGUCGCUGAGCUGGAAACCAGCAGGGUCUGAGCAUGCAGAGCUGGCAUGGGCCUGGUCCCUUUGUCCUGUCCCAAUCCAAAUGGAUGGAGGGGCUUUUAAAGUUGGGCCCUCUUGCGGCUCUGUGGUGUUUGGGUGUCCGCCCGGGAGGACAUGCUCGUUUCAGUCCCUGUAGCAGUGCAGCGCUAGCCCCACGGCCGUUCUCUGCCAUUUGGCCGAGGUGGGGCUGCGCACCCCCUUCCCAGCCCGGGGGGGCUGCUGGCCUGCCUGGUGGCCAUGGGGGAGCUGCGCCCUGAAUGCUUGGUGCAGUCCCUGGGCAUGUGGCAGCCCUCCGCCUCCUGUGGCUGAAAGAGCUGGGCAGGCCAGCUUUGUGCGGGUAACUUGAUGCUGAUGACAGUUGGCAGCUGCAGUUCCCCCAGCCGACUGAGGCAAAUAAAAGCAUUAGGGCUCGUCCCCGAGGAGAGCGACAGGUGUUUGCUCCCGCUUCUUUGUUUCCUUUCUUUUAUUCGCCUUGCUAAUGCAUGUCAUAUUUUUACUGCCCAAGGAAACGGGAGACGCAUCCCCCGCUUGAAUCGACAUCACUGGUGUGGAGCUCCAUGCUUGCUGCCUUGUACGUGUACAGCAUGGACCCCCUCCCGCGAUGGCAUACCCUUGUUCAUUUUGCCAUCAAAACCCCAGCAGACUUGGCAGCUGGGGCACAGAAGAACAGUUCAUGCCAGCCACAACGCUAAUGAGCAGCGUUCAAAAGGGUCUUAUGUCCAUUCACAGAAGAGCCCCAAGACUGGCCGCCUGUGAAGGCUCGGGUUCCCCUUUGACUGAGAGGAUGGGCCCUGCUUUCUGCCAUUUCAAAGGAGCAUGCAGAAUGUCUUCCUGCUGUUUUCUGUGCCGACUUUGACCACAGCCAUGGAGUCGUGAUGGAAGGGACCUUCAGAGGGUUGAAGUGAAGGUGCUGUGCCACCAAAAUCAGUAGAAAAUGAUUGCUGUUCGCAUGAUUAUGGCUGUGUCAACAGAGCAUUGUAGCCAGCUCAUGUGAUUAAAAACAAAUCAUAUAAAUAAAAUAGCUCAGGAGAGAGCAACAGAAUCACAGGAAGUUAGGAACACGCAGGCUUAUAUUUGUGCUGCACAGGAUAACUUAAAAGAGGAAAAAAUGAUAGUUUAUAUGAUACAAAAUUAUUUUUUUCUAGGGAAAUAAAAAUGCUUUGUUCUAUUUUGGGGGUUUAUUUGUUGGUUUUUUUUUAAGCUCUGGAGGAAGGGCAGUGCUGUCCUCUGCAGCAUGCCUUGUUUUAUGGAGGAUGUUAGGAAUGGGUUCAUUUACUUGAUGAAUUCAGGACCCAGUUUAAUUGGACUCUGAAAUGGCUAGUUUGGGGGGAAGCCAUUUUACUGGCUUCUGGGGAUUACUUGAUGUUCUCUAAACUCCAGUAAAAAUUUCUUAGACAGCCAAGGCUUCUGUGUCCUUACAAUUAAUAGACAAAGCAAAUGUCAAGUUUGCACACAUGCAGAAACAGGGACUUGUGAACAAAGUGGUAGGACUAGCUCCACUAGCAUGUUGCUGUGUCAAAUAAAAAUCCCAAUGAUAUACAGCCUAAAACUGUAAUUAGAGGGCAGCUCUGAAAAUGAACAUACAAACUGAAAAUGCAGGCAGCUUUGGUACACUGUCUGAGUUGCUCUUCUUGAUUUCCUUCCCUCCCACCCCUUUCAGAGGUGUGGUAUGUGGUCUGCCAGGGCUGCAAGAGAGCAGGGGUGGCUUGUCCCCAGAGCUGCUGAUCUGUCUGUAUCUCAGCAAGCCCAUUUGACAACUGUACCGUCUAAACUGUCUAUGGAUAAAAGUAGGGGAAUGAAAGG
Molecule: non-coding RNA, 2240 nt
Organism: Phalacrocorax carbo (great cormorant)
Lineage: Eukaryota; Metazoa; Chordata; Aves; Suliformes; Phalacrocoracidae
Source: RefSeq, a predicted model, not a curated record